RNAcentral lists this ribosomal RNA (148 nucleotides) under uncultured bacterium. RNAcentral's name for it is "partial 16S rRNA". It matches the Rfam family "Bacterial small subunit ribosomal RNA", at positions 355 to 500 of the family's 1533-position model. The record is from RNAcentral.
UGAGGAAUAUUGGUCAAUGGACGAGAGUCUGAACCAGCCAAGUAGCGUGAAGGAUGACUGCCCUAUGGGUUGUAAACUUCUUUUAUACGGGAAUAAAGUGAGGCACGCGUGCCUUUUUGUAUGUACCGUAUGAAUAAGGAUCGGCUAA